UACGGGGGGGGUAAGCGUUGUUCGGAAUUACUGGGCGUAAAGGGCUCGUAGGCGGCCAACUAAGUCAUACGUGAAAUCCCUCAGCUUAACUGGGGAACUGCGUGUGAUACUGGAUGGCUUGGAUUUGGGAGAGGGAUGCGGAAUUCCAGGUGUAGCGGUGAAAUGCGUAGAUAUCUGGAGGAACACCGGUGGCGAAGGCGGCUAUCUGGACCGACAUUGACGCUGAGGCGCGAAAGCGUGGGGAGCAAACAGG
This 253-nucleotide ribosomal RNA is filed under the name uncultured bacterium. Its description in RNAcentral is "partial 16S ribosomal RNA". It matches the Rfam family "Bacterial small subunit ribosomal RNA", at positions 524 to 776 of the family's 1533-position model. The record is from RNAcentral.